GUCCCUCAGAUUCUGACUUCUCAGUAUCUUCAUUAAGUUCAGCCACAGAAUCACCUUCUUGGAGGAUGUCUGCUGCUCCCACUGCUCCCUUCACCAUGAAAGGACUGGGGAUACUGCCUGGUGUCAACCACGGGCGUCUAAGACAUCCCUCAGCAGUGGCUCGAUCUUCAGGUUUCUUAAGUAAAAGAGAGGACAUAGCGCGGGGAGCGCAGGCCCCUGGGGCCUUGCUGGAGAGUCAGGCCCUGCCCAACUGCAGCUGCAGCUUGGGCACUGAGGACGUCUGUGGGACCAGGACUGAAGUCACGGGGGUGAUGCACCGGGCGCUACUCGGGCAGUCUGCAGAAGGAGUAGCCCAGCUGACCUGCUCUGUUCUGCUUCGUAAGUCCUGGGGACUCACGGUGGGUGGUGGCAUUCAGAGAGUCUACAUUCAAACCUGGACAUUUCUAGUGACUUGGGUCACGUGCUUUGAGCCCUCCAACUCUCCAGACCUCAUGUGAGCCUCCGGGGACUGCACACCUGAGGUUCCCACACCAACUCUGACAGCGCCGAGCCCGCGCACACAGUAACGCUUAGCCAGGAUGCAGAACUCACUUUCUCCACAGAGCGUGAUUUGGGCCUUCAGCUGUUCGAUAUCACAGGAGAACCGGGCCGCCUUCCCCAGCUCUUCAUCAUAUUUCCGCUCGCUGACAAAGUGCUGAGGUAGAGAAGGAAAGCGGGCCACACAAUGGAGACGCGCCCGAGCCCGCUGCAGCCUCGCCUGCUCUGCUGCUGGUGCCCGGGGAUGUCGCAGACUGGGGUCCUGAGACAGUCUCCCUGGAAUACGUGUGGGACUUGUCUUUCUCCUGCUCAGGCUUGGACAAAACUGGGAUGCAGCAAAAAAAGCUGCGUCUGGACUUGUCCCUAACCGCUCAGCGUCCCUUGCAGGCGCAGAGUUUGAGCUGCGUCUCGGCAGGGUUUCUUGGUGGGGCCCAGAGCCUGCUAAGUGAUUAACCGCCGAGAGGAAGCACGGCACCCUUCCUAGGCACUCAUCUCUAUUUUAACAGGAAAGCAGCAAGCCCAGAAAACCUUCAGUGUCUGCACCUCAGCAUCUACGGUGGGGUUUCAAGUGCUGCUACAGGAGGUGGGAUAGAUUAUUUUUCAUUCAUUUAAAAUUCAGUUUAAAAUUAAGAUCCAUGUGUAGACAGAGUGAGAAUGCAGAAAUAACUACGACUCAGUCCCUCCUUGAUUACCACAUAGCAAGGGGGAGAGCCAGCACUGAAUACAAGAACGUGGUUGAUGCUUUGGGAGUGAAAAAGAGGAAGAAAUGAUCUCCUCCCGAGGGACUAUUAUGUGAAAUGUUAUGUGAGGGGAAGCAUUUGAGCUGGAACAUUAAAGAUUACUGAACACUGUC
Non-coding RNA from Heterocephalus glaber (naked mole-rat), 1390 nucleotides. NCBI's taxonomy places the organism in Eukaryota, Metazoa, Chordata, Mammalia, Rodentia, Bathyergidae. The record is from RefSeq and is a predicted model, not a curated record.